AUGGAGUGGGACGAGCUAGCUCAGAAUCCAUUUCUUGCCUUUUACCAGAGAUGGCCGUGGCUUCGCCCAUUAAACUCCACUUAACAAUCUUUGGAAUGUCUAACAAGACACA
This 112-nucleotide small nuclear RNA is filed under the name Ascosphaera apis ARSEF 7405. RNAcentral's name for it is "U5 spliceosomal RNA". It matches the Rfam family "U5 spliceosomal RNA". Rfam says of the family: U5 RNA is a component of both types of known spliceosome. The precise function of this molecule is unknown, though it is known that the 5' loop is required for splice site selection and p220 binding, and that both the 3' stem-loop and the Sm site are important for Sm protein binding and cap methylation. The record is from Rfam by way of RNAcentral. Lineage: Eukaryota; Fungi; Ascomycota; Eurotiomycetes; Onygenales; Ascosphaeraceae.